Molecule: ribosomal RNA, 481 nt
Filed under: uncultured Streptococcus sp.
Lineage: Bacteria; Bacillati; Bacillota; Bacilli; Lactobacillales; Streptococcaceae
Description: bacterial SSU rRNA
Rfam family: Bacterial small subunit ribosomal RNA
Source: RNAcentral
CAAAGGAAUUGACGGGGCCCGCACAAGCGGUGGAGCAUGUUGGUUUAAAUUCCGAAGCAACGCGAAGAACCUUACCAGGUCUUGACAUCCCGAUGCUAUUUCUAGAGAUAGAAAGUUACUUCGGUACAUCGGUGACAGGUGGUGCAUGGUUGUCGUCAGCUCGUGUCGUGAGAUGUUGGGUUAAGUCCCGCAACGAGCGCAACCCCUAUUGUUAGUUGCCAUCAUUCAGUUGGGCACUCUAGCGAGACUGCCGGUAAUAAACCGGAGGAAGGUGGGGAUGACGUCAAAUCAUCAUGCCCCUUAUGACCUGGGCUACACACGUGCUACAAUGGUUGGUACAACGAGUUGCGAGUCGGUGACGGCGAGCCAAUCUCUUAAAGCCAAUCUCAGUUCGGAUUGUAGGCUGCAACUCGCCUACAUGAAGUCGGAAUCGCUAGUAAUCGCGGAUCAGCACGCCGCGGUGAAUACGUUCCCGGGCCUU